RNAcentral lists this non-coding RNA (26 nucleotides) under Homo sapiens (human). The record is from RNAcentral. Lineage: Eukaryota; Metazoa; Chordata; Mammalia; Primates; Hominidae.
UUCUCAGCCGGAACCCCAUGUGGUCA